UUGAUAGCUGCAAGAAAUGUGCAACUAAUUAAUGGAGGCGGAUUUUACAGCAAGAAAAAUCAACAGAAAUGUCUAAGAUACAAUCAUGCUGGAGACCACGGCUACGCAAGGAAACAAUCAUGAAGGUAAAUUCAUACGGUGCAGCGGCACUGGUGUGGGAUUGGCCGUAAACAGUAGAGCCUCCAUGGUCAAGCCAGAAUGCUACACAUGCAAAAGAUGGUGCAACCAGCUAAGUAUCAGUUUACUUAUCGCUGGAAUGAGUCCUCUUUAUGGGAGAUUUUUUAAUCUUAGGAGGGACGUAUUUGCCAGCCCAAUCAAUUUAGGCAGAACAAGCAUCCACUCCACUCUGCCUCACAAAUUAAUACUUUCUCUAUAAUUAAAUAUCCAUUGACUAAAGAAAACACAUGCAUUUGAUACUUUUUUAUCCCUGAGUUUCAUCUCAUCUGGCGGUACUGCAGUUUAAGUAAACUAAAACCAAAUUAACAGCUACCAUUCUUGUAUUGAACAAAAUUAAGGCACACAUGUAUAAGCAGAUCAAGGCUAGCUAUGAGCAAACUACAGAUAGAUGAUAUACUUUGAGCUAUAGCUAGACGACAGUCCAACCAUUUGACCAGAGUCACAUAGAGAUCAACCUAAGCANNNNN
This 644-nucleotide long non-coding RNA is filed under the name Hordeum vulgare. RNAcentral describes it as "long non-coding RNA (HVUL_LNC020871)". Lineage: Eukaryota; Viridiplantae; Streptophyta; Magnoliopsida; Poales; Poaceae. The record is from RNAcentral.